UACAGAGGGGGCAAGCGUUGUUCGGAAUUACUGGGCGUAAAGGGCGCGUAGGCGGCCUUCUAAGUCGAACGUGAAAUCCCCGGGCUCAACCCGGGAACUGCGUCCGAUACUGGAAGGCUUGAAUCCGGGAGAGGGAUGUGGAAUUCCAGGUGUAGCGGUGAAAUGCGUAGAUAUCGAGAGGAACACCAGUGGCGAAGGCGAGUCUCUGGACAUUUCCUGACGCUCAGGCACGAAAGCCAGGGGAGCAAACGGG
RNAcentral lists this ribosomal RNA (253 nucleotides) under uncultured bacterium. RNAcentral's name for it is "partial 16S ribosomal RNA". It matches the Rfam family "Bacterial small subunit ribosomal RNA", at positions 524 to 776 of the family's 1533-position model. The record is from RNAcentral.